AUACUCUCCCAGCUACCUGUCACCCAUCUCCCUCCUGAAAAAGCUGAGCUCCACCGAAUGUCUCCUUCUAAUGAAACGCAACUCUGGCUGCAUCUCAGUUUUUGCAGGCGAGAAAAGAGCAACUCUGAAUUCCCUGGCUGUCUGUUCCUGCUUCUUAUUGUGGCUGGGGAUACUGAAAUCUGCCUGAUAGGAGGAGGAAGCACCACUUCUCCCACGUGGAUGCCAUGUUCCAGUGAUUCAGCAAGAGAUCUACUGGGACAGUGAGAAAUAGCUGGAUUGCUUAACCCCAAAUCUAUGAGGAAGACCCACACAUAUCAUUCAAGCCCUGGAACUCAAGAGGCACUCUUAGAAAUGCCAUUAUAUUCAUAAACAUAUGGUGCUCUGGCUCUCCUUGGCUUUAUACUAAGCUACUUGAGCUUUUUGUUUAUCAGAUUUGUGUAUUCUUCAGUGUCUACCCCCUCCCCCUGUGUUUCACACAUAAUAGCUGCCCAAUAACAUCGUGGAAACGAACUUUAAAUAUCAGUGUGGAAUCUUCCACUGAAUAUAUAUAAUUUAUGCUAUUGAAUUUAAGACUUAGACCUUGACCCUUUAUUGGGAAAACUGGUAAAAAUGAUGCAGUAACAACAGCAUCACAAUAAGAUCACAGGUCCUUCUUCCCCAUAUUUCCCUGUCUCUGCGUGCCCUUAACCUUUGAGCAGAAGACAAGUUUCUCAUCUCCUCUGCAUGCCAGAUGGGCCACUAAACUAGGACCAGUGGGGGGGUGUAGCAAAUCACAACUAUAUAAGAUAUCACUGAAGUCAUCAAAAAGCAGUGAUGGAGAUCGAGGGCAGUUGAGGGGAACGAAUUGCAACUAUGUAAUGUUUUUCAUGCGAAUCAUCAAAAAUCAGUGAUGGUCUUUGAGCUGCUAGGCGGAAAGUCUGAGAAUUUCUAUACAGGAGAUAAGACCCAGAUACUGCAAGAUGGAGAAAGAGGAACAGGUAAGCAAUUGCAUGAAGAGUCAAGCUCUAUUUAUAUUUCAGUGAACAUUUAUCAAUGGCCUUUGCUAGAAUAAAUUAUAAGGCUGAAGAAGAUACACCCUUAGAAUGUUUCUAGUCUCCACUACCAAAAGUUAGAAAACUGGCUCAGGCAAAGGAUGAAAAAAUGGAAAUAAAAUCAGGUUGUGUGCAUGUAACACUGGCUCCAAAUUGACUGUUUAUUUGGGACAUAGAUGAACAUCAUAAUCCUUUGGCUUGACUCCCCUGCAGCCCUGAUGGAACACAUCCAGUUGGGCCUCCUGUCACCCAUCAGAGUGCUAAUUAAGGAGCCAGAGAAAUACCACAGUUCACCUCAUCUGUUUGUGUUCUUCUGCUGAAAGGACACCAUGCAUCUCCCUGACAGCUAGUCAUUACAGGAGCAUAUGGGCAUAUCAGGCUUCUGCCAGGGACAGCUAAGCCCCUAAGAACCCAAGCAGAGCUCUGAGUUACGCUGGCCUGUACAUGUCCAUUACCACUCCAGUGAUACAAAGGGAUGUACACCCCCAUCAACUAAGAUGGCUAGUGCAAAUUUUGACCUCCCAAAGGAGUGUAAGUGAGACACCGUGAAUGGGAUGACAGAGUUGGUAGAGAGGGAAAAUGCAGAGGAGGGAGAAACAGCUAGAUUUGUGUUAUUGCAACUCUCUCAGUGCCAUUUCAGACCCAAGGUACUUGGAAGGUGCAAAAUGACUUUCUGCAUAUUUAAAAAAAAAUUGCUGUCCUUUCCACUUUUACGGCUCUUGGGUAUCGAGCAUUUCCCUAUGCAAUAUUUUCUUUGACCUUUAUCAUCUGGCAGAAAUUAUUAUCUCUAAGUGACUAAUUAAAAAAACACGGAGACCCAGUAAGGUUAAGGAAUUCUUCAAGGUCAUAGUACUGUGUAAAUGACAGGGUUGGGAGUAAAACCCAGGUUUUCAGACUUUUAGUCCGAUGUUCUUUAAAAGCCAGUCAAAUGGGCACAAGCGAUCUUUUGAGAGUGACAAAUGUUUUAAAACUAGAUGUAGCGAUGGCUGCACAAGUCGGUAAAUUUUUUAGAAAUCAUUACAUGCUUUAAAAAGUUGAGUGUUACGGUAUGUAAAUUGUAUUUCAAUACAGCUCUGAAAAAUAAAGGCAGCCAAGUGUAGUAAGUAGAGCCCGGGCUUUGGUGUCAUUAUUCUGUAGUGCAGAUCCUGAUUCCAGCUCUUCUGCCCUGGGCAACAUUGG
RNAcentral lists this long non-coding RNA (2210 nucleotides) under Homo sapiens (human). Its description in RNAcentral is "non-protein coding lnc-NTRK3-7:1". The record is from RNAcentral. Lineage: Eukaryota; Metazoa; Chordata; Mammalia; Primates; Hominidae.